GCAACCUCCCGACUUCUAGUAAAUUACCCAGAGCCCUAUCGUUCUCAGAUAUUGGAUUAUCUCUUUAAGCCGAAUUUUGGUGCCUCUUUGCAUAUUUUAAAAGUGGAAAUAGGUGGUGAUGGGCAGACAACAGGUAGGAGAAUUUGGGAGAUAGGAUUUCUCCCAUCAACAUUUUAAUCUAUACCUCAGCAUAUGGACUGUGAUUUCAGAAUAUGUGUAAACAAUACCAACACUUUUGAGAUUGAUUGUUGCUUAUUAGAGUUUUCCUCAUUUUUUAACUGUAAUUAUUUAAAAAUAUUAUAUAGAAUAUGACUGGUCCAUCAAAAACAAUAUUCAAACUUCAAAUUGCUUAUUUAGUUGAAGUAAUCGGUAGUAAACAAAUCCACAGUUUUCUAAAACCUAUAUAUACAGGACAGAGCAUAGGGACAGUUUUGAAUUUUAUUGAGCAGUUAGAAAGAUUUUAAUUUCGUAUAGAACAAAAAAAGUGUUAUUAACUUAAAAUAUGUGGUAAAAAUGAUACAGCUU
RNAcentral lists this long non-coding RNA (525 nucleotides) under Homo sapiens (human). RNAcentral describes it as "non-protein coding lnc-KCNK10-2:1". The record is from RNAcentral. Lineage: Eukaryota; Metazoa; Chordata; Mammalia; Primates; Hominidae.